Molecule: non-coding RNA, 23 nt
Filed under: Arabidopsis thaliana (thale cress)
Lineage: Eukaryota; Viridiplantae; Streptophyta; Magnoliopsida; Brassicales; Brassicaceae
Source: RNAcentral
GACAAUGGUAGGUGUCGGUCGAC